AAAGCUAAGUGAUCAAGGCCACAGGGCUAAUUCAUCACAAAGUCAGGAUUUGGUUGCACAUCAGUCUACUUUCAAACACAAGGUCUUUCUACCGGAACAGGUUACUUUAAAUUCAGGGACAAGACUAGUUUGUCACCUCAGCUCCUAGCCUAGCUCCUGGCACAGAAUAUUAAACAGGUUAGGCAUUACUUGCGCCCUGCCGUUUGUAAGGUUUCGUUUUGUGUAGUACGGAGAAACGCACACUACUCACAGGCCGACGACCUACGCCGCGCAAAAAACCAGAAGAAUUUAGGACACCGCGCAACUCUUAGACUUUCCUUGACGCCCAUCUUUACGGCUGGCGUGUAACCGCUCUAUACUCUGGAGGACUCAGUGAGCAGGGCCAAUCAUUAGGCCACAUUAUAGGCACGUGGCUGGAAGUUUGACUUGCUAUUGGUUAAUGGCGGUAAAGCCCGCCCAACCACCUCCGGUCUGCUUCUUUAAGUAGAAGCCCGGUUAGUUCCCUUUCCUUUUAGCGACUCCGAAGCGGUGAAGGUGAGAUGGCGUGUGUUCUGGGCUGGGGCAGGUCCCGGCUAGGAGAAGGACGUCGCAUCUCAUUGUCCUCCCAGCUUUUCGACCUUUCCCCGAAGCCCCUCAAUAAAAUGGAUUGAUCUCA
Globicephala melas (long-finned pilot whale) is the source of this 655-nucleotide long non-coding RNA. RefSeq lists it as uncharacterized. NCBI's taxonomy places the organism in Eukaryota, Metazoa, Chordata, Mammalia, Artiodactyla, Delphinidae. The record is from RefSeq and is a predicted model, not a curated record.